GUGGGGAAUAUUGGACAAUGGGGGGAACCCUGAUCCAGCCAUGCCGCGUGUGUGAAGAAGGCCUUUUGGUUGUAAAGCACUUUAAGCGAGGAGGAGGCUACCGAGAUUAAUACUCUUGGAUAGUGGACGUUACUCGCAGAAUAAGCACCGGCUAACUCUGUGCCAGCAGCCGCGGUAAUACAGAGGGUGCAAGCGUUAAUCGGAUUUACUGGGCGUAAAGCGCGCGUAGGUGGCCAAUUAAGUCAAAUGUGAAAUCCCCGAGCUUAACUUGGGAAAUGCAAUCGAUACUGGUUGGCUAGAGUAUGGGAGAGGAUGGUAGAAUUCCAGGUGUAGCGGUGAAAUGCGUAGAGAUCUGGAGGAAUACCGAUGGCGAAGGCAGCCAUCUGGCCUAAUACUGACACUGAGGUGCGAAAGCAUGGGGAGCAAACAGGAUUAGAAACCCCGGUAGUCC
This 451-nucleotide ribosomal RNA is filed under the name uncultured bacterium. Its description in RNAcentral is "partial 16S ribosomal RNA". It matches the Rfam family "Bacterial small subunit ribosomal RNA", at positions 354 to 796 of the family's 1533-position model. The record is from RNAcentral.